RNAcentral lists this ribosomal RNA (484 nucleotides) under uncultured bacterium. RNAcentral describes it as "partial 16S ribosomal RNA". It matches the Rfam family "Bacterial small subunit ribosomal RNA", at positions 30 to 507 of the family's 1533-position model. The record is from RNAcentral.
AUUGAACGCUGGCGGCAGGCCUAACACAUGCAAGUCGAGCGGAUGAAGGGAGCUUGCUCCUGUAUUCAGCGGCGGACGGGUGAGUAAUGCCUAGGAAUCUGCCUGGUAGUGGGGGAUAACGUCCGGAAACGGGCGCUAAUACCGCAUACGUCCUGAUGGAGAAAGUGGUGGAUCUUCGGACCUCACGCUAUCAGAUGAGCCUAGGUCGGAUUAGCUAGUUGUUGGGGUAAAGGCCUACCAAGGCGACGAUCCGUAACUGGUCUGAGAGGAUGAUCAGUCACACUGGAACUGAGACACGGUCCAGACUCCUACGGGAGGCAGCAGUGGGGAAUAUUGGACAAUGGGCGAAAGCCUGAUCCAGCCAUGCCGCGUGUGUGAAGAAGGUCUUCGGAUUGUAAAGCACUUUAAGUUGGGAGGAAGGGCAGUAAGUUAAUACCUUGCUGUUUUGACGUUACCAACAGAAUAAGCACCGGCUAACUUCGUG